This 274-nucleotide unclassified non-coding RNA is filed under the name plant metagenome. Its description in RNAcentral is "partial contains small subunit ribosomal RNA and internal transcribed spacer 1". The stretch from base 1 to 46 matches the Rfam family "Eukaryotic small subunit ribosomal RNA", at positions 1786 to 1831 of the family's 1831-position model. The record is from RNAcentral.
AAGUCGUAACAAGGUUUCCGUAGGUGAACCUGCGGAAGGAUCAUUAAAGAGUUGUCCUGCACCCCCUGGUGGGAUGGUCGUAGCGGAGUGAACCGGUUCACCCGUCCUCAUCCCCUGUGUAUACCUUCCACGUUGCUUUGGCGGGCCUGGGUACGUCCUUCUGGGCACCCUGCCGGCGUCGGACUUCGUCCCCGCCGGCGAGCGCCCGCCAGAGACCCUUACCAUUCUGAUUUUUUUUCAAUGUCGUCUGAGCAAAACACAAAAUAAAAUAAAA